RNAcentral lists this ribosomal RNA (497 nucleotides) under uncultured bacterium. Its description in RNAcentral is "partial 16S ribosomal RNA". It matches the Rfam family "Bacterial small subunit ribosomal RNA", at positions 28 to 507 of the family's 1533-position model. The record is from RNAcentral.
GAUGAACGCUGGCGGCGUGCCUAAUACAUGCAAGUCGAGCGAACAGAUGAGGAGCUUGCUCCUCUGACGUUAGCGGCGGACGGGUGAGUAACACGUGGAUAACCUACCUCUAAGACUGGGAUAACUUCGGGAAACCGGAGCCAAUACUGGAUAAUAUAUUGAACCGCAUGGUUCAAUAGUGAAAGACGGUUUUGCUGUCACUUAUAGAUGGAUCCGCGCCGCAUUAGCUAGUUGGUAAGGUGACGGCUUACCAAGGCAACGAUGCGUAGCCGACCUGAGAGGGUGAUCGGCCACACUGGAACUGAGACACGGUCCAGACUCCUACGGGAGGCAGCAGUAGGGAAUCUUCCGCAAUGGGCGAAAGCCUGACGGAGCAACGCCGCGUGAGUGAUGAAGGUCUUCGGAUCGUAAAACUCUGUUAUUAGGAAAGAACAAAUGUGUAAGUAACUAUGCACGUCUUGACGGUACCUAAUCAGAAAGCCACGGCUAACUACGUG